AGAGUUUGAUUCUGGCUCAGGAUGAACGCUAGCUACAGGCUUAACACAUGCAAGUCGAGGGGCAGCAUGGUCUUAGCUUGCUAAGAUUGAUGGCGACCGGCGCACGGGUGAGUAACGCGUAUCCAACCUUCCCUAUAGUAGGGGAUAGCCCGUAGAAAUGCGGAUUAAUACCCUAUGUUGUAUUUUGAGGACAUCUGACGAAUACCAAAGGUUUACCGCUAUAGGAUGGGGAUGCGUCUGAUUAGGUAGUCGGCGGGGUAACGGCCCACCGAGCCAACGAUCAGUAGGGGUUCUGAGAGGAAGGUCCCCCACAUUGGAACUGAGACACGGUCCAAACUCCUACGGGAGGCAGCAGUGAGGAAUAUUGGUCAAUGGGCGAGAGCCUGAACCAGCCAAGUAGCCGUGCAGGAUGACGGCCCUAUGGGUUGUAAACUGCUUUUAUGCGGGGAUAAAGUGAGGGACGUGUCCCUUAUUGUAGGUACCGCAUGAAUAAGGACCGGCUAAUUCCGUGCCAGCCGCCGC
Molecule: ribosomal RNA, 522 nt
Filed under: uncultured bacterium
Lineage: Bacteria
Description: bacterial SSU rRNA
Rfam family: Bacterial small subunit ribosomal RNA
Source: RNAcentral